Molecule: non-coding RNA, 87 nt
Organism: Selaginella moellendorffii
Lineage: Eukaryota; Viridiplantae; Streptophyta; Lycopodiopsida; Selaginellales; Selaginellaceae
Source: Rfam
CCUCUGGGAUGAUUCGAAUCUAGAUGACGAGUCUGAUGCUAGCGCCAUUGCUAAUGAAGCAUCGAACGAGGCAUUUGUCUGAGAGGA